This 466-nucleotide ribosomal RNA is filed under the name uncultured bacterium. Its description in RNAcentral is "partial 16S ribosomal RNA". It matches the Rfam family "Bacterial small subunit ribosomal RNA", at positions 339 to 795 of the family's 1533-position model. The record is from RNAcentral.
CUACGGGGCGCUGCAGUGAGGAAUAUUGCGCAAUGGGGGAAACCCUGACGCAGCGACGCCGCGUGGAUGAUGAAGGUCUUCGGAUCGUAAAAUCCUGUCAGAUGGGAAGAAAUGUCUUAUGUCUAAUAUAUGUAAGAUUUGACGGUACCAUCAAAGGAAGCACCGGCUAACUCCGUGCCAGCAGCCGCGGUAAUACGGGAGGGUGCAAGCGUUGUUCGGAAUUACUGGGCGUAAAGCGCGCGUAGGCGGCUAUUUAAGUCAGAUGUGAAAGCCCAGGGCUCAACCAGGGACGUGCAUUUGAUACUGGAUAGCUUGAGUACUGGAGGGGAUAGUGGAAUUCCCGGUGUAGAGGUGAAAUUCGUAGAUAUCGGGAGGAAUACCGGUGGCGAAGGCGACUAUCUGGCCAGAUACUGACGCUGAGGUGCGAAAGCGUGGGGAGCAAACAGGAUUAGAUACCCCAGUAGUC